Molecule: ribosomal RNA, 431 nt
Filed under: uncultured bacterium
Lineage: Bacteria
Description: bacterial SSU rRNA
Rfam family: Bacterial small subunit ribosomal RNA
Source: RNAcentral
AACGAACGCUGGCGGCAGGCUUAACACAUGCAAGUCGAGCGCCCCGCAAGGGGAGCGGCAGACGGGUGAGUAACGCGUGGGAAACUACCCUUUGGUACGGAAUAACACAGAGAAAUUUGUGCUAAUACCGUAUGUGCCCUUCGGGGGAAAGAUUUAUCGCCAUAGGAUGUGCCCGCGUAGGAUUAGCUAGUUGGUGUGGUAAUGGCGCACCAAGGCGACGAUCCUUAGCUGGUCUGAGAGGAUGAUCAGCCACACUGGGACUGAGACACGGCCCAGACUCCUACGGGAGGCAGCAGUGGGGAAUAUUGGACAAUGGGCGCAAGCCUGAUCCAGCCAUGCCGCGUGAGUGAUGAAGGCCUUAGGGUUGUAAAGCUCUUUUACCAGGGAUGAUAAUGACAGUACCUGGAGAAUAAGCUCCGGCUAACUCCGUG